This 253-nucleotide ribosomal RNA is filed under the name uncultured bacterium. Its description in RNAcentral is "partial 16S ribosomal RNA". It matches the Rfam family "Bacterial small subunit ribosomal RNA", at positions 524 to 776 of the family's 1533-position model. The record is from RNAcentral.
GACGAACCGUGCGAACGUUGUUCGGAAUCACUGGGCUUAAAGGGCGCGUAGGCGGGCUCGCAAGUCCGGGGUGAAAGCCCCCAGCUCAACUGGGGAAGCGCCUUGGAUACUGCGGGUCUCGAGGGAGGUAGGGGCGUGCGGAACUUCCGGUGGAGCGGUGAAAUGCGUAGAUAUCGGAAGGAACACCGGUGGCGAAAGCGGCGCGCUGGACCUCUUCUGACGCUGAGGCGCGAAAGCCAGGGGAGCAAACGGG